UGCAGUCGAACGAUGAACCACUUCGGUGGGGAUUAGUGGCGAACGGGUGAGUAACACGUGGGCAAUCUGCCCUUCACUCUGGGACAAGCCCUGGAAACGGGGUCUAAUACCGGAUACGACCACUACGGGCAUCCGUGGUGGUGGAAAGCUCCGGCGGUGAAGGAUGAGCCCGCGGCCUAUCAGCUUGUUGGUGAGGUAAUGGCUCACCAAGGCGACGACGGGUAGCCGGCCUGAGAGGGCGACCGGCCACACUGGGACUGAGACACGGCCCAGACUCCUACGGGAGGCAGCAGUGGGGAAUAUUGCACAAUGGGCGAAAGCCUGAUGCAGCGACGCCGCGUGAGGGAUGACGGCCUUCGGGUUGUAAACCUCUUUCAGCAGGGAAGAAGCGAAAGUGACGGUACCUGCAGAAGAAGCGCCGGCUAACUACGUGCCAGCAGCCGCGGUAAUACGUAGGGCGCAAGCGUUGUCCGGAAUUAUUGGGCGUAAAGAGCUCGUAGGCGGCUUGUCACGUCGAUUGUGAAAGCCCGAGGCUUAACCUCGGGUCUGCAGUCGAUACGGGCUAGCUAGAGUGUGGUAGGGGAGAUCGGAAUUCCUGGUGUAGCGGUGAAAUGCGCAGAUAUCAGGAGGAACACCGGUGGCGAAGGCGGAUCUCUGGGCCAUUACUGACGCUGAGGAGCGAAAGCGUGGGGAGCGAACAGGAUUAGAUACCCUGGUAGUCCACGCCGUAAACGG
RNAcentral lists this ribosomal RNA (735 nucleotides) under Streptomyces sp. FXJ1.198. RNAcentral's name for it is "bacterial SSU rRNA". It matches the Rfam family "Bacterial small subunit ribosomal RNA", at positions 56 to 809 of the family's 1533-position model. Lineage: Bacteria; Bacillati; Actinomycetota; Actinomycetes; Kitasatosporales; Streptomycetaceae. The record is from RNAcentral.